GGCGUCCAUGUGGGAGGGAAGCCUGCGCUGGCCGCCCACGCGGGAGGGAAGCCUGCGCUGGCCGUCAUACUGACCGCUGCCUGUGACACUGAUGCAGGCAGUCUCUUUUCAGUCUUGGAUGUGCUGGAUCUGUGUGUGGUUGUUCUUCAGUCCCACAAAAACCAGCUGCUUCCCUUGGCUCAUCAGGCCUGGCCCUCGCUCGUUCACCGACUCACACGGGACGCCCCCCUGGCAGUGCUUAGAGCCUUCAAGGUUUUACGUACCCUGGGAAGCAAGUGUGGUGACUUUCUUCGCAGCCGGUUCUGCAAAGAUGUCCUGCCAAAGCUGGCUGGCUCCCUAGUCACCCAGGCCCCCAUCAGUGCCAGGGCUGGACCAGUUUACUCGCACACGCUGGCCUUCAAGUUGCAGCUGGCUGUCUUACAGGGCCUGGGCCCCCUCUGUGAGAGACUGGACCUAGGUGAGGGUGACCUGAAUAAAGUGGCUGAUGCCUGCUUGAUUUACCUCAGUGCCAAACAGCCCGUGAAAUUACAAGAGGCUGCCAGGAG
Molecule: small RNA, 545 nt
Filed under: Pan troglodytes (chimpanzee)
Lineage: Eukaryota; Metazoa; Chordata; Mammalia; Primates; Hominidae
Description: processed transcript
Source: RNAcentral